RNAcentral lists this ribosomal RNA (368 nucleotides) under uncultured bacterium. Its description in RNAcentral is "bacterial SSU rRNA". It matches the Rfam family "Bacterial small subunit ribosomal RNA", at positions 28 to 399 of the family's 1533-position model. The record is from RNAcentral.
GACGAACGCUGGCGGCGUGCUUAACACAUGCAAGUCGAGCGGAAAGGCCCUUCGGGGUACUCGAGCGGCGAACGGGUGAGUAACACGUGAGCAACCUGCCCUGGACUUUGGGGAUAACCCUCGGAAACGGGGGCUAAUACCGGAUAUUAACCUUUGCCCGCAUGGGUGUUGGUGGAAAGUUUUUCGGUCUGGGAUGGGCUCGCGGACUAUCAGCUUGUUGGUGGGGUGAUGGCCUACCAAGGCGACGACGGUUAGCCGGCCUGAGAGGGCGACCGGCCACACUGGGACUGAGACACGGCCCAGACUCCUACGGGAGGCAGCAGUGGGGAAUAUUGCACAAUGGGCGGAAGCCUGAUGCAGCGACGCCG